RNAcentral lists this ribosomal RNA (405 nucleotides) under Clostridioides difficile. RNAcentral describes it as "bacterial SSU rRNA". It matches the Rfam family "Bacterial small subunit ribosomal RNA", at positions 1 to 415 of the family's 1533-position model. Lineage: Bacteria; Bacillati; Bacillota; Clostridia; Peptostreptococcales; Peptostreptococcaceae. The record is from RNAcentral.
UUAUUUGAGAGUUUGAUCCUGGCUCAGGAUGAACGCUGGCGGCGUGCCUAACACAUGCAAGUUGAGCGAUUUACUUCGGUAAAGAGCGGCGGACGGGUGAGUAACGCGUGGGUAACCUACCCUGUACACACGGAUAACAUACCGAAAGGUAUGCUAAUACGGGAUAAUAUAUUUGAGAGGCAUCUCUUGAAUAUCAAAGGUGAGCCGGUACAGGAUGGACCCGCGUCUGAUUAGCUAGUUGGUAAGGUAACGGCUUACCAAGGCGACGAUCAGUAGCCGACCUGAGAGGGUGAACGGCCACAUUGGAACUGAGACACGGUCCAAACUCCUACGGGAGGCAGCAGUGGGGAAUAUUGCACAAUGGGCGAAAGCCUGAUGCAGCAACGCCGCGUGAGUGAUGAAGGC